UUGGGCAAUGGGGGAAACCCUGAUCCAGCAAGAUAGUAUGAAUAUAUAGGAAAAUAGCAUAAAGUUCUAAAGAGAAAUGAAAUAAUGAUUAAUUUCUCUAUUAAAUCCUGACCAAUUUCGUGCCAGCAGUCGCGGUUAUACGAAAAGGAUGAGCGUAAUUCAUAAUGACUAGGUGUUAAGGGUCAGUAGGCGGUUAAUAAAUAUAAAUAAAUAAAUUAACUAGAGUGUAUAAAAGGAAAUGAGAAUUAUUGGUAUAGGGAUUGAAUCUCGUGACAUCAUUACGAAUACCAAAAAGGGCGAAGGCAAUUUUCUAUGAAUCACUGACGCUAAUAGACUAAAGUGUGGGUAGCGAAAAGGAUUAGAUACC
This 367-nucleotide ribosomal RNA is filed under the name Conidiobolus sp. YN-2013a. Its description in RNAcentral is "SSU rRNA". It matches the Rfam family "Bacterial small subunit ribosomal RNA", at positions 364 to 786 of the family's 1533-position model. The record is from RNAcentral. Lineage: Eukaryota; Fungi; Entomophthoromycota; Entomophthoromycetes; Entomophthorales; Conidiobolaceae.